Physella acuta is the source of this 2008-nucleotide long non-coding RNA. RefSeq lists it as uncharacterized. Lineage: Eukaryota; Metazoa; Mollusca; Gastropoda; Physidae. The record is from RefSeq and is a predicted model, not a curated record.
GAGGGGGCUUAAAUGUUUAUAAAUUAAUAAAUAAUCAUUCACUUUAACUUUUUUAAAAACUUAAUUUUAUUGUUCUAGGCCUAUUUGUGUAAGGAUUUGAAACUGUCUUUAUUAAUUAAUUCAGAGAGAGAGAGAGAGAGAGAGAGAGAGAGAGAGAGGAACAGUAGACACAAUUAUAGAACAAAUUUCUACAUGUUAAACAGUGUAUUUUGAUAGGUAUUAAUUUUGAAAAAAAUUAGUCAACUAGAAUUCUAAAUUGAUUCAAGAUUGUCAUUCAAAUUUCUAUUACUGUUACAGGUCCCUAUGGGAGAAUAAGAUGUCAUCAUCAUCACUCCUUUGUGGCCCCUGGGGAGCAAAGGGCUGCAACCACACAUCUCCAGCGGACUUGGUUUUGGGCUGCUCCUCUAAUCUGUGCCCAUGAGAGCCCAGCUGUUUUCGCCUCCUCCUCAACCGUUCUCUUCCAUGUUUUCCUUGGCCGGCCCACCCUCCUUUUUCCCUGGGGAUUCCAGUCUAAUGCAUGUUUUGAUGAAUAAGAUGCCUUUCAGGUGUUGUGUAUAUCAAUCAGCCCACUGGAGAUAUAUCAAUCUUUAAUAAAUUAUAAGGUCCCCACUGCUUGAUACUUCACCAAAUACUGGCUACACCAGAAAAUGACUAAAUGUUCUUAACACUUAACAACUACCACAAGCAUUACUUCUGGGUCACUCUGAAGGGUCUAAUCGUUCAAUUACUGAAUUGAUAAAGUUGAUGAAAUUGCUCAAAAAUUGUCUGGCACCUUCUUAGCUCAGAGACAUAGGAAUGUGGAUGGAUUAUGACAUACCUUGCAUAAAUCAACAACCAGGGUUUUAUUGGAUUUGAAUCCCAAAGGAAAGAGAAAGUUUGUUAUCCAAAACAAACAUGGAAAAUAUCAGAAACCAACAAAACACAAGCAGGCAGAGUGUUAUGGACACAACUUUGGGGAAUCUCCUAAAACCAAGUAUAAAAAUAGAGAGGUGUGGUUGUGUCUCUCAGCUCCACAAGGGUCCACAAGAAUGAGGACAACAUUGAUUUUUGUAAUAAUUUUAGAUCAGAUUUAAAAAAAAAAAUUUGAUCAGAUGGAUCAGGUUAACAGUUUAAUACAUAUUGCAUUUAAGUGCUUAACGAAAAGAAAAGAUGCUCUUACCAAAAUAGUCUAAGAACAAUGCUGAUUUUAAAUUAAUAAAUUGUUUCCUUUUGUAAUAAUAUAAUAAUUUAAGUUGGCAUUGUAUGUAUGUUUAGUGUAGAUUUAAUGCCCUAAAUGAAAUAUACAAUUGACAUUUUUUUCUUUAAAGAAUUAGUUGCAAAUUCCUUUCAUUAUUUAGUUUCACUGUACAAUCUGAAAAAAGCUUGCAACAUUUGUAUUGACAAUACUUCUGCUGGUGAUAUUUAUUUCUAAUUAAUGAAGUAAAUUAAUAUAUAUUCAGUUUACUAUAAUUAAAUACCUCAUACUCGAGACAAAAAAACAUUUAUUAAAUAUCGCAGUGAUAUUCCUGUUCUACACAAUGCGUAUAAACCCUCGAACCAUCUGUCUUUUGAAAGAUUGCACAUUUUGUAUACACAAUGGCAUUCAUUUCAACACUAUUUAACCACAAUUAUAAUCUAGAGAUCCUGAACAUAUUUUCGUUCUGUUAUUUAUGGACAAGGCAGACUGGUCCAGCAUUAAAAUGUAAACCUUAAUUAGAAUACUUAAACGAGCUAUGCAAUUAAAUGUUGUUAGACAAAUAUUUUAUACUUUUUAUUUUUAAUGUUAUGUUUACGUAUCAUAGUACAAGACAGCUUCUGUAUUCUUGUACAGUAAAUUAAGUUUUUACAUUAGUUUAAUUUAAACUGUAGGCCUGCUUAACAUCUGUUACAUUAUAUGAAAAUGUUUUGUAUAUUUGUUUUAAUUUGUUUGUAUAAAAGUCAAAAUGAAAGUUACUACACUAUAAUUUACUUAUUCUUUUUCAAUCAAUACUUUAUAGUAUAGUUAUAAUUUUCUUACAAUUGAAUGGAU